RNAcentral lists this unclassified non-coding RNA (100 nucleotides) under Oryza sativa (Asian cultivated rice). Its description in RNAcentral is "partial microRNA MIR477d precursor". The record is from RNAcentral. Lineage: Eukaryota; Viridiplantae; Streptophyta; Magnoliopsida; Poales; Poaceae.
AUUGAUGAGAGCCUCCAGGUACUUGUCCCUAGCCGGAGACGGCGUGCCAGCUCCUGAAGAUGGCACGUCGGUCCCAGUCAGAUAUAUGCCAGGCUUCAUC